Zea mays is the source of this 2931-nucleotide RNA transcript. It is a transcript of the gene named nucleobase-ascorbate transporter pseudogene, with no coding region annotated. The transcript is spliced from 8 exons. The record is from RefSeq and is marked validated. NCBI's taxonomy places the organism in Eukaryota, Viridiplantae, Streptophyta, Magnoliopsida, Poales, Poaceae.
UGUCAAUGAGCUCGAGGAACUAAAAGAGAAAUAAAUUAUUUCAAAUAAUCAAAUAAGCCCACACAAAGUUAUGUAUACAAACAAAAGAAGAUGGUAUCAAAAUAAUAUGGUAUUCAAAUAACAAAUUUCGCUAGUAAGACACCGUAUUGCCAUACUAAAGUGAAGAAAGUCAUCUGCACAACAACUAGAUCUUGGUUCCGUCAAUCAGACAUGGCUAAUCUCUUAGACAUAUGUAAAAAUAAAAAGAAGUGACUAAGAUAUAAUCUGAUUAAUGUUUGCAGCACUUAUUGUGAAACAACAAACAAGAACAAAGAUCUGAACUGCAAAGGAUACAGAAGUGACCAAUAAACUUCUACAGCUCUUAGUCUAAUUCACAGUUCAGGAAAGCACAAAAGGCAAAAGAUCUCAGAUUUAUUAAUUAUAAUAGCAAACCAAACAUGAGGAAAAUAAAUGCAAAUAAAAUUUUCAAUUGGUAUGAUAACAAAAUGGUAAUAAUGUCAUCACGUUUUAGAGGGUAGUAGAUUUAGUGUGAUCGAAGUUCUAGGAUAAUCCCUUUCGCUAUUGUGUGAAAAUAUAGAGCACAAUACAACUAUAAAAUAUAUUAUUCUAUCAAAAAGACCAUAAAAAUAAUAAUAUCAUAAUAAUAAGUACUAGGUAUAUGUCUGUGCGUUGCCACGAGGCGGGUAGCGUGGGGGCGGCGCCUAGGCUGUAAAUAUAAUUAUUGUUUAUUUCUAAACACUAAAAUACAUGUAGUCUGGUGGUUAGCCCCAAAUUAUUAGAGCAGAGGGGUGUGGGUUCGAGUGCUUGCUUUGCACUAUUUUUUACGGGUGCUGGGUGUGGGGAGUGUGAAGCCAUGGUAGUAUAGGUGCCAACAUUAGCUUCUUAAUAGAUUAGUAUAGAAGUAUAGAUAUAGAUUCCCGUAUCAUCAUCUGCCAUCUUGUGACUCCUAGUCCUAGGAAAUAAAAGAACUAAGGCCUAGAGCCUAGCGGUGUGGAGUCCUUUUACCUGUCAUCCCAUCACUGCCUGAUUUAAGGUCAGGGCCUAGGAUUUAAAAACACAUCUUAGGUUUGCUGAUAACUUCACAUCACUUUACUUUGGCGAAGGAUGAAACAGAACAUCACACUUUUGUUAAUGUAGCGGUUGAGAGAACCCAUUCCUUGUUGUCAUGAUCCCUCUUAUGAGGGAAAAGUUUGGUAGGAAGGCUUCCGUAGUUUACCAACUAAGGGAAAAUAAUUAUCCGUAUUUGAUAUGUGAUUCUUUGACUUUUUGAUUUGAUGUCAAUCCAAUUAUAACUGCUGUGAUAACUAUUGACAUAUUUUUCUUUUUCCAAUUGCAGCACUACUAAUAUUUUAUGGCAUGCAACAUUACCUGUCAAUAGCUGGUUCACUUGUCUUUGUUCCUUUGAUACUCGUACCUGCAAUGGGUGGUUCUGAUGAGGAUACCGCAACAGUCAUAUCCACCAUGUUAUUAGUCUCUGGUCUUACUACAAUACUACAUACUUUUUUGGGUUCUCGGCUUCCACUGAUUCAAGGAAGCUCCUUUGUAUAUUUGGCUCCAGCGUUGGUAAUUGCGAACUCCGAGGAGUUCAGAAAUCUUAGUGACAAUAAAUUCAAGCACAUAAUGAGGGAACUACAGGGGGCUAUACUUGUUGGUUCAGUAUUCCAGAUAAUAUUAGGAUACACUGGUCUUAUGUCACUGUUUCUGAGGUUAAUAAAUCCAGUAGUGGUGGCACCAACUAUUGCUGCAGUGGGUUUGGCAUUUUUUAGUUAUGGUUUCCCUCAGGCUGGCAGCUGUGUAGAAAUCAGCAUGCCCCUCAUUCUGUUGGUUCUUCUGUGCACUCUGGUGCCCCUCAGUGUUGCAAUUGUAUGGGCUUAUGCAUUCUUUCUAACUGCUGGUGGAGCAUAUAACUUCAAAGGCUGCCGCUCAAACAUACCCAGUUCAAACAUAUUGUUGGAUUCAUGCAGAAGGCAUUUAGAGACCAUGAGGCGCUGCCGUACCGAUGUUUCUACUGCGUGGAAAACUGCUGCCUGGGUGAGGGUUCCCUAUCCGUUCCAAUGGGGCCCUCCAACAUUCCAUUUCAAGACAGGUAUCAUCAUGAUAAUAGUUUCUCUGGUUGCUCCAGUUGAUUCGCUUUCAUCGUACCAUGCCGCUUCACUGCUGGUAAAUCUAAGCCCACCAACACGUGGAGUUGUCAGCAGAGCGAUUGGGCUUGAAGGGGUUUCAACGUUUAUUGCUGGAGAACGUUAACAGAGAACAUACACACCCUCGAAACAACCAAAAUGGGCAGCAGGAGGGCUUUGCAGCUUGGGGCAGCCGUGUUAGUCAUCUUCUCCUUCUUUGGUAAAAUCGGAGCUCUCCUAGCCUCUAUACCUCUUGCCUUGGCCGCCUCUGUUCUGUGCUUCACCUGGGCGCUAAUUGUCGCGCUUGGUUUGUCCACAUUGCGAUACACCCAAGCAGCACGCUCCAGGAACAUGAUAAUAGUUGGAUUUACCCUGUUCAUCUCCUUGUCGAUACCCGCAUACUUUCAGCAGUAUGAACCCAGCUGCAACCUAAUCUUGCCCAGCUAUCUUCUUCCAUAUGCUGCAGCGUCAAGUGGGCCAGUUCGCACAGCCAGCAGCGGGCUGAACUAUGCAGUGAACGUGCUCCUAUCCAUCAACGUUGUGGUGGCUCUCCUUGUCGCGUUGAUCCUUGACAACACAGUGCCAGGCAGCAGACAAGAGCGCGGUGUGUACAUUUGGACAGAUCCCAAAUCCCUCGAGGUGGAUCCUGCGACAUUGGAACCCUACCGAUUGCCGGAGAAGGUUUCGUGCUGGCUCAGGUGGGCAAAGUGUGACAAGGUUUUGCUCUUUCUCACACAACAUUGAAUUAUCUCAAACUCAUAGCAGGGUACUUUAUUCGCCACUUUAUUCACCUCAUAACCAUUAGUGUUCA